UGACGUCAUCACACAAACCUCUGUGCAGCGGGCAUCCGUUCUCCGAGAAUCUUCCCCCAGCGCGAUCCUCCGCAUCACCGACCACAAACAACUCUUGACGACUUCGACCGCCUGCUAUCCUCUGGACAUGGGACUGUGCCGCGAAAGAUCGUGACCCCGCAGAAGACCGCGAUGAGCAAGAUCCGCAGGAAACGGACGAGGCAGUGGACCGCCCUCGAGGACGGGAUGGUGGCAGUGGAACCCCGCCCCACCCCCCCGCGACCCUGAGGAUACUUCGAUGGUGUCCCCCACCAGCAUGUUGUUGUUCCUUGGAGGCGCUCACACCUUGGAAAAGGGCGAGGAAUACUAAUAAAACACACUCUUUGUUCGGCUCAUUCUUCGAAUCACAGCGUAACAAUCGAAAGAUGACUAUCACAAAUCGUCAGCGUAAAACAAGUGUCUGCGGAAAAUAAAGAAAAAGGAAUUUCAAUGGGAUAACAGCAAUGGUCACAGAGGAUAUCAUACUAUUUUGAGUUAGUUUUAUCACAACAGUAUGUAAUUUAAUGGUAUGUAAUCCAUAAUAUAUAAACACUGCAUAAUAAAGAAAAGUAGUAAUACCAACCGGUAUUUUCUACGCAAGUUUGA
This 624-nucleotide unclassified non-coding RNA is filed under the name Stegodyphus dumicola. RNAcentral's name for it is "uncharacterized LOC118184016, transcript variant X2". Lineage: Eukaryota; Metazoa; Arthropoda; Arachnida; Araneae; Eresidae. The record is from RNAcentral.